UCCAGACUCCUACGGGAGGCAGCAGUGGGGAAUAUUGCACAAUGGGGGAAUCCCUGAUGCAGCGACGCCGCGUGGAGGAAGAAGGUCUUCGGAUUGUAAACUCCUGUCCUUGGGGACGAUAAUGACGGUACCCAAGGAGGAAGCACCGGCUAACUACGUGCCAGCAGCCGCGGUAAAACGUAGGGAGCAAGCGUUGUCCGGAAUUACUGGGCGUAAAGGGCGCGUAGGUGGGCGCUUAAGUCAGGUGUGAAAACUCCGGGCUCAACCUGGAGACUGCACUUGAAACUGGGUGUCUUGAGGGCAGGAGAGGAAAGUGGAAUUCCUAGUGUAGCGGUGAAAUGCGUAGAUAUUAGGAGGAACACCAGUGGCGAAGGCGACUUUCUGGACUGUACCUGACGCUGAGGCGCGAAAGCGUGGGUAGCGAACGGGAUUAGAUACCCCCGUA
RNAcentral lists this ribosomal RNA (445 nucleotides) under uncultured bacterium. RNAcentral's name for it is "bacterial SSU rRNA". It matches the Rfam family "Bacterial small subunit ribosomal RNA", at positions 330 to 792 of the family's 1533-position model. The record is from RNAcentral.